UGGGGAAUUUUGGACAAUGGGCGAAAGCCUGAUCCAGCAAUGCCGCGUGUGUGAAGAAGGCCUUCGGGUUGUAAAGCACUUUUGUCCGGAAAGAAAUCCUUGGCUCUAAUACAGUCGGGGGAUGACGGUACCGGAAGAAUAAGCACCGGCUAACUACGUGCCAACAGCCGCGGUAAUACGUAGGGUGCAAGCGUUAAUCGGAAUUACUGGGCGUAAAGCGUGCGCAGGCGGUUUGCUAAGACCGAUGUGAAGUCCCCGGGCUCAACCUGGGAACUGCAUUGGUGACUGGCAGGCUAGAGUAUGGCAGAGGGGGGUAGAAUUCCACGUGUAGCAGUGAAAUGCGUAGAGAUGUGGAGGAAUACCGAUGGCGAAGGCAGCCCCCUGGGCCAAUACUGAUGCUCAUGCACGAAAGCGUGGGGAGCAAAGCAGGAUUAGAUACCCUGAUAGUCCACGCCCUAAAACGAUGUCAACUAGUUGUUGGGGAUUCAUUUCCUCAGUAACGUAGCUAACGCGUGAAGUUGACCGCCUGGGGAGU
RNAcentral lists this ribosomal RNA (535 nucleotides) under uncultured bacterium. RNAcentral's name for it is "partial 16S ribosomal RNA". It matches the Rfam family "Bacterial small subunit ribosomal RNA", at positions 355 to 881 of the family's 1533-position model. The record is from RNAcentral.